UUCAUUCUAUCUGUUAAUGCUACAGUUUAACGUGAUGAGGCUACUUCUAUUGCAUUUCUCCCUUUCUCAUUUGUGAAAAGCUGACGUUUUCAGCAGUCACAAAAUACACAUCAUGGUGCAAAAUGGAAGGAGCCAAAUAUUCCUCCUUUUCCACAAAGCUGAAAUUGUAGCAGUACAAAACAGUUCAGCAGUGGUUCACACGGUAUGAACCAGAAUCCUAUAAGGUGAAUGGAGGGCUGUGGAUGAAAUAUGCUGUAGAGAAAAAGGUUGUAUCUAGCAGGGGCAAAAAAGGAUGGUGGUGGUGUGUUCAGGUGACUGGAGGAAAGCCAAAGUUUGUGCUUCACCUCAGAUGAGUUCAACAAGUAGCAACAGGCUUUUUUUUUUUCCCCUGUGUAAAUCACAGUACAGCAGUACUUCACAGAUAAACUGCAGUGAGAACUAAUGCCAGUGUCCUUGCUUUCUAGACUCUUUGCUUCCACUUUCCUGGCAUUAUGUCACAUUUUCAACUAAUUACAGGCAAACACAAGGUGGGAAGGUGAAGGCAAUGAUUUUGCUGCUUCCAGAAAUAUAGUCAGGACUUCAUCUGUCAUAUAUAAGUGGCAGUAGUGCCUCUUAAAGCUUUCAGUAAACAAAAUGUUGAUAGUGCCUUCAUGAUGGCUGAAGGGGAAUGAACAGAGUCAUUCAGGCUUAGAUUUUGUUGGGACUUCCCAGCAUAAUUUUGCCAGAGUAUAACUGACGUCCAUGCUUAUCCAAAGGUUGGAAAAGUUUCUCGGUCCUUGAAAGCUAACCAUAUUAUAUUGGAGGGAAUACAGAGAAUGGUACUCUUCCAGUGCUUUCCUAUUGUGCUGGUUUUGGCUGGGAUAGAGUUCAUUUUCUUCCUAGUGGCUGGUAUGGGGCUCCGUUUUGGAUUUGUGCUGAGAACAGUGCUGAUAACACAGGGAUGUGUUCGUGGUUGCUGAGCAGUGCUUACCCAGAGCCAAGGGCUGUUCUGCUUCUCACCCCACCCCACCAGCGAGGAGGCUGGGGGGGCACAAGGAGUUGGGAGGGGACACAGCCGGGACAGCUGACCCCAACUGACCCAAGGGAUAUCCCAGACCAUAUGACGUCAUGCUCAGCAUAUAGAGCUGAGGGAAGAAGAAGGAAGGGAGGACGUUGGGAGUGAUGGCAUUUGUCUUCCCGAGUCACCGUUAGGCGUGAUGGAGCCCUGCUUUCCCGGAGAUGGCUGAACACCUGCCUGCCCAUGGGAAGUGGGGAAGGAAUUCCUUGUUUUGCUUUGCUUGUGCACGUGGCUUUUGCUUUCCCUAUUAAACUGUCUUUAGCUCAACCCACGAGUUUUCUCACUUUUACUCUCUCCCCCAUCCCACCAGGGAGGAACGAGCGAGCGGCUGUGUGGGGUUUAGUUGCUGGCUGGGGUUAAACCAUGACGCCUAUCUAUCACACAAUGUCUCAGCUGGAUGGUCUGUAACACCUCCCGAGAAGAAUAUGAGUCCUCUGUUUGCUCGCUCACUCAGCAUAAUGAAAAGAAGAGAUGAAAUAAAGUCAGCAGCACUCAAAAUAGACUCUCGACCACUGGAUGCUGCUCUUUGCAUCACGCUAUGAAAGGAGAGCCAUUCCCACUGUGUAACUCUGCCACAGUACGUUUUGUUACUCAUGUACAGAUCCAAGAAUAAAUUUUGGCCCUGACCAUGGAAUAUUCACUCACUUUCAAAUACGGAUGUGACCUGCCUUUUCCUUCUGCAACUAACAGGGUGACCAGAGGCAGUGGAAUGUACACCAGGAUUGGAAAGAAUAAAACCAGAGGGAAAGCAAGCUGUCAAGAGAACAGUGUACUGAAGAGGAAAAAUGUAAACAUGACUUCUAUUUACCAAGAUUAAUAUGUAAAGUUAACAUGUUUGUCAUGGAAUAUAUUAAUAUGUAUGUUUUCCCAUUAUGUAGAUCUUUUCUUAUAUUACUUAUUAGAAAGGGAUAUAAUCACAAUGAUGGGGCAAGAAUGCCACUUAAAAAUUAGGUGAUGCCCAGUCAACAUAAUAUAACCACUACAGUGUCAUUUCUGAUUUAGAUGUGGUGAUAUCAGUGUAAUUGCCACUGGGAAGAAAUUAUAAUGGCUGUUAAUGAUAAAUAAAAUGACAAGAAGGAGGAUCCUCCUUCACAUAUAA
Molecule: long non-coding RNA, 2156 nt
Organism: Harpia harpyja (harpy eagle)
Lineage: Eukaryota; Metazoa; Chordata; Aves; Accipitriformes; Accipitridae
Exons: 5
Source: RefSeq, a predicted model, not a curated record